GUGCUCAGUAUCACGUGGUCUUUUAGAUUACCUCGUUGGUACAAAACAUGCUAUUAAACGCACAAGGAGGGACGGAGAGGCGAUUUCCAAGAAUAAUGUACGGGGUACAUCCUAUUUGCCGAUAUCAAACAGAGACCGUCGGCUGCAUGCGCUUUGAGACCGUUGGCUGAAAGAAUGGCUCGUGGCUUUCAGCGAGGGAAACAAGAGAUGACUCGUGUUGUAAAAGGAAUAGUGGCCUGAAGAUGUCUGGACACGUUAUAUAUGUCAAUUGUCAGUUAAACGUAAACUUGAGCUCUUGCGGUUUGGACCCGAAAGAAAAGUUCAGCGCAUGCCAUUAGGACAAGCCACAUCUCAUCAAGGAAUCAAAAGACGAUCAUGAGAUACACAUUAAUCAACAUCCAAUUCAACUGUGGGAGGGAAAAAAGGGUAAUAGCGAAUGGCAACAAGGCUCGGUUCUGGCGCCAAUCUUUAUCAAUAUAUCUAUGAAAGACUUGGCUAUUUGUGACGAAUGCUGAAAUUUGUGACGAACCACAGCCGUCUCGUUUUUGAGCAUAAUAUUUUCAGCGUAACGAUUACUACACAGGAAUACGGUUUUUGUGAGUAUUUGUCAUAUCUGCAACGCUAUUGGAACGAUGGGCGACACCACUCCAAUCACUUUUGUAGCCUAUUAUUGUAAUAUUUGUGUCUCUAUGUUAAGUGUAAGUCUUGGGGUUGUUAUGCAUUUCCAUGCUCCCUAGGCUUUUGUAUUGUAAUUGAUUGUCGUUGUAAAUUUUAUGAGAAUAUAUAUAUAAAAAUAAAAAAUUCGGUUCCUCAGUCA
Rhopilema esculentum is the source of this 817-nucleotide long non-coding RNA. RefSeq lists it as uncharacterized. Lineage: Eukaryota; Metazoa; Cnidaria; Scyphozoa; Rhizostomeae; Rhizostomatidae. The record is from RefSeq and is a predicted model, not a curated record.